Molecule: ribosomal RNA, 372 nt
Filed under: uncultured organism
Description: bacterial SSU rRNA
Rfam family: Bacterial small subunit ribosomal RNA
Source: RNAcentral
CGUAGGGUGCGAGCGUUAAUCGGAAUUACUGGGCGUAAAGCGUGCGCAGGCGGUUUUGUAAGACAGGCGUGAAAUCCCCCGGGCUCAACCUGGGAACUGCGCUUGUGACUGCAAGGCUAGAGUACGGCAGAGGGGGUGGAAUUCCACGUGUAGCAGUGAAAUGCGUAGAGAUGUGGAGGAACACCAAUGGCGAAGGCAGCCCCCUGGGUCGAUACUGACGCUCAUGCACGAAAGCGUGGGUAGCAAACAGGAUUAGAUACCCCUGGUAGUCCACGCCCUAAACGAUGUCAACUAGGUGUUGGGUGGGUAAAACCAUUUAGUACCGGAGCUAACGCGUGAAGUUGACCGCCUGGGGAGUACGGCCGCAAGGUU